RNAcentral lists this ribosomal RNA (616 nucleotides) under Trichoderma atroviride. RNAcentral's name for it is "eukaryotic LSU rRNA". The stretch from base 222 to 375 matches the Rfam family "5.8S ribosomal RNA". Lineage: Eukaryota; Fungi; Ascomycota; Sordariomycetes; Hypocreales; Hypocreaceae. The record is from RNAcentral.
AAGUAGCUCUCGUUGGUGACAGCGGAGGGAUCAUUACCGAGUUUACAACUCCCAAACCCAAUGUGAACCAUACCAAACUGUUGCCUCGGCGGGGUCACGCCCCGGGUGCGUCGCAGCCCCGGAACCAGGCGCCCGCCGGAGGGACCAACCAAACUCUUUUCUGUAGUCCCCUCGCGGACGUUAUUUCUUACAGCUCUGAGCAAAAAUUCAAAAUGAAUCAAAACUUUCAACAACGGAUCUCUUGGUUCUGGCAUCGAUGAAGAACGCAGCGAAAUGCGAUAAGUAAUGUGAAUUGCAGAAUUCAGUGAAUCAUCGAAUCUUUGAACGCACAUUGCGCCCGCCAGUAUUCUGGCGGGCAUGCCUGUCCGAGCGUCAUUUCAACCCUCGAACCCCUCCGGGGGGUCGGCGUUGGGGACCUCGGGAGCCCCUAAGACGGGAUCCCGGCCCCGAAAUACAGUGGCGGUCUCGCCGCAGCCUCUCCUGCGCAGUAGUUUGCACAACUCGCACCGGGAGCGCGGCGCGUCCACGUCCGUAAAACACCCAACUUUCUGAAAUGUUGACCUCGGAUCAGGUAGGAAUACCCGCUGAACUUAAGCAUAUCAAUAAGCCGGAGGAA